CUCGUAGGCGGUUCGUUGCGUCCGGUGUGAAAGUCCAUCGCUUAACGGUGGAUCCGCGCCGGGUACGGGCGGGCUCGAGUGCGGUAGGGGAGACUGGAAUUCCCGGUGUAACGGUGGAAUGUGUAGAUAUCGGGAAGAACACCAAUGGCGAAGGCAGGUCUCUGGGCCGUCACUGACGCUGAGGAGCGAAAGCGUGGGGAGCGAACA
RNAcentral lists this ribosomal RNA (207 nucleotides) under uncultured bacterium. Its description in RNAcentral is "partial 16S ribosomal RNA". It matches the Rfam family "Bacterial small subunit ribosomal RNA", at positions 568 to 774 of the family's 1533-position model. The record is from RNAcentral.